GGGGAAGUGUCGGAAUGGUAGACGAGCAUGAUUUAGGAUCAUGUGCCGCAAGGCGUGGGGGUUCGAAUCCCCCCUUCCCCACCA
RNAcentral lists this transfer RNA (84 nucleotides) under Dehalococcoidales bacterium. RNAcentral's name for it is "tRNA-Leu". It matches the Rfam family "tRNA". Rfam says of the family: Transfer RNA (tRNA) molecules are approximately 80 nucleotides in length. The record is from RNAcentral. Lineage: Bacteria; Bacillati; Chloroflexota; Dehalococcoidia; Dehalococcoidales.